This 79-nucleotide small RNA is filed under the name Flavobacterium sp. 2. Its description in RNAcentral is "Flavo-1 RNA". It matches the Rfam family "Flavo-1 RNA". The record is from RNAcentral. Lineage: Bacteria; Pseudomonadati; Bacteroidota; Flavobacteriia; Flavobacteriales; Flavobacteriaceae.
CCCUAGCCCCGAUGGGAGGGAAAAUCCUUUUUGUGCCGGGGUUCGGCAUAAAAGAUUGGAAGGAACAGCGGGAAAUAGC